Molecule: unclassified non-coding RNA, 200 nt
Filed under: Tilletia sp.
Lineage: Eukaryota; Fungi; Basidiomycota; Exobasidiomycetes; Tilletiales; Tilletiaceae
Description: partial internal transcribed spacer 2
Source: RNAcentral
UUAAGUUCAGCGGGUAGUCCUACCUGAUUUGAGGUCAAGCAUUAAAAGGCUAACGAUGGUCCAAGACCAUUCCGUGUUGGAAGCAGAGUCCUUCAAGAUGCGGUUGUAGGGCAAGCCCACAUUCUAUGUGAUCAAAUUAUCACACAUAGUCAGACCGGACUCAAAAGAUGAUUCCACUGAUCGAUUUAAGACGAGCAAGA